RNAcentral lists this ribosomal RNA (253 nucleotides) under uncultured bacterium. RNAcentral's name for it is "partial 16S ribosomal RNA". It matches the Rfam family "Bacterial small subunit ribosomal RNA", at positions 524 to 776 of the family's 1533-position model. The record is from RNAcentral.
UACGGAGGGAGCAAGCGUUACUCGGAAUUAUUGGGCGUAAAGGGCGCGCAGGCGGCCACGCACGUCCGUUGUGAAAUCGCUCGGCUUAACUGGGCGGGGUCCAUGGAAACUGGUCACCUGGAGGUCGGUAGAGGCAAGUGGAAUUCCCGGUGUAGUGGUGAAAUGCGUAGAGAUCGGGAGGAACACCAGUGGCGAAGGCGGCUUGCUGGGCCGGACCUGACGCUGAGACGCGAAGGCGUGGGGAGCGAACGGG